This 278-nucleotide long non-coding RNA is filed under the name Oryza brachyantha (malo sina). RNAcentral's name for it is "long non-coding RNA (OBRA_LNC001925)". Lineage: Eukaryota; Viridiplantae; Streptophyta; Magnoliopsida; Poales; Poaceae. The record is from RNAcentral.
GAGCCUGUAGCUAGUGGUUACAAGGGCCUUAAUAGCACCUAAGGUCUUAGGUUCGACUCCUGGUUAGGAGUGAAUUUUCCCAGUGUUAGCUCCAACCAGGAGUGAAUAAGGGACUAGGAUUCAGAGAUGCUCAUAGGGGUAGGGUUUGCGUGCGUGCGUGUGGUUGUGAGCGUCUGCGUUGUAAUGUGUUCUCUAAAAAAAAGGAUUUUGUAGCAGUGAAGUUAAGUAGCACAUUCCAUUAAAUUAAAUAGAAAAACAUUUUAUUGAACGAAAAGACG